RNAcentral lists this ribosomal RNA (244 nucleotides) under uncultured bacterium. RNAcentral's name for it is "partial 16S ribosomal RNA". It matches the Rfam family "Bacterial small subunit ribosomal RNA", at positions 333 to 569 of the family's 1533-position model. The record is from RNAcentral.
UAUGUCCUACGGGGCGCAGCAGUAGGGAAUCUUCCACAAUGGACGAAAGUCUGAUGGAGCAACGCCGCGUGAGUGAAGAAGGGUUUCGGCUCGUAAAGCUCUGUUGGUAGUGAAGAAAGAUAGAGGGAGUAACUGGCCUUUAUUUUACGGUAAUUACUUAGAAAGUCACGGCUAACUACGUGCCAGCAGCCCCGGGAAUACGUAGGUGGCCAGCGUUGUCCGGAUUUAUUGGGCGUAAAGCGAG